RNAcentral lists this ribosomal RNA (145 nucleotides) under uncultured bacterium. RNAcentral describes it as "partial 16S ribosomal RNA". It matches the Rfam family "Bacterial small subunit ribosomal RNA", at positions 388 to 525 of the family's 1533-position model. The record is from RNAcentral.
CCAGCAAUGCCGCGUGAGUGAAGAAGGCCUUCGGGUUGUAAAGCUCUUUUGUCAGGGAAGAAACGGUGAAAGCUAAUAUCUUUUGCUAAUGACGGUACCUGAAGAAUAAGCACCGGCUAACUACGUGCCAGCAGCCGCGGUAAUA